UUACAUAACUAUGAUGUCUUUUUAAAGACAUAUCUAGACAGUCUUUGAAUUCAAACAUAAUAUUAAUUUAAAAUUCAAUGUUUCACCAAUUUUAUUACUUUAUAUUCUUCAUUGAUACAUCAGUCAAUUAUAGAUUUUCAAAUGCUUUAAUUGUGCUUUGGUAUAUAUGUUAUGGGCAUUCAUAAAGUUACAGGAAGAGAGAAUGGAGGAGAAAUAAAAAUCCUUACUCAUUGCUGGUUGAAAUGCAAAAUAAUACAGGCACUUUGAAAGAAAGUUUGUCAAAUUUUUUAGAAAACUAAACAGUUUUACUGUAAUAUCAGCAAUCCUACUCCUAAAUAAAUACCCAAUGGGUUUGAAAGUGUGUAUGCACAUAAAUACAGGCAUGUGGAUAUUUAUAGAAGCUCUGUUUAUAAUCACAAACAACCAGAACCAGCCAAGAUGUUCUUCAAUAGGCAUAUAGAUAAAGGAAAGGCACAUCCAUACAAAGGGAUAGUAUUUAGAAAUAAAAGGGAUUAAGCUAUUAAGUCACAGUAAAAAAUGAUGAAUCUUAAAUGUAUAUAGCUAAAUGAAAAAAAUAAGGCAUAAAAGACUGUAUGUUAUAUGAUUUUAUUUGUGUGAUAUUCUGGAAAAUACAAAAAUACAGAAAUGGCAAAAGAGAGCAGUUGUAAAAGUUUGUUUUAUUUUUGUUGUUGUUAAUUUGUUGUUUAUUUUAUUUUAUUUUAUUUAUUUUGAUGGUAUAGGAGGCUUUGAACAUGUGAGACUCAGGGAAAUUAUAAGCUACUGGAAAUAUUUUAAUAUAUGGUCCCUUUGUCUAAUCCACUGAACUUUAUUCUUCACUGCCUCAUUGUGAUUUAACUUCAACAUAUCAGGGAAAACAUUAAAUCUAUGUUUAUAGAUUUAAUGUUUUCCCCAUAGAUAAGCUAUGGGGGUCAAUCUAGGUACCCUUUAACAGAAUAAUGAAUACAGAAAAUGUGGUGUAUAUACACAAUGGAGUAUUACUUUGCCAUAAAGAACAUUAUAACAUUUGCUGGUAAAAGGAUGGAACUAGAGCUAUCAUGGUAAGUGAAAUAAGACAAUGCCCCCUCAUUAAAUAAAAGGUCAAAAUGGGAGAUUCUAAGGCUUGCCAAAGAAUAUAUGAAUGCAUGGCAUUUUGUUAUACCAGACAUUAAGUACCAGAUAUUAAGGCAGCUCCAAAAUCCAUAGUAAUGUCUAAGGAACUUAGGCACCAAUCAAAAGGACUCUCAACAAAUCAAAUAAUGUAGUGGUAGAUAAAAUAAGUAUAAAAAUAAAAAUAUAAAAUAAAUAACCAUAAAUCUAUACUGAUUAGAUAAAUUACAGGAUAAAUAUAGAAGUGAUAGAAAAAUAGACCUAGUUCCAAAGAUAAAGAAUCCCAAAUAAUUUAUGUAAAUAAUCCCUUCUCAAGGAGGUACACUCAUAUACAUGAAAGAAUUUCCCCAUUGUUGAGGGGUGAAAUGUUCACUUUUGAAUCACUUACAAAUAUUACUAUUUUGUUCAGUUGUGGUAAUUUCCCUUACUCCCAGGUUUUAAAAACAAAUCUACAAAAAUAAUGCAAUUUAGUAUACAAUCUGGUUCCACUUAUGCCUGUAAUUGAAUCCAGUGAACCACCAACUAUACCACCUUGACAUUGGCUGUGUCAAGCAGCUGAUAAAACAGUAGAGCACUGCUGUUUAAAAGGUAUGAACUGCACUUCUUUCAAAGAGUGUCAUAUGACCAGGGAUAAAAUUAUAAAUGUGUACCUUUACAGGUGAUAAACAGCAGGACCUCAACCAGAUGGUCGAGUUUAGCAGCACAAUCUUAAGUCACACAGGUAUUGGGUACUCCUGAGAAUUUGAUGAGAAGGACAGUUUUGCCUCUAAUCUUCCUCCAGGAAACAGGUGGUAGAAACAGGUGCCAAACAGAUAGAAUCAGACCUCCCAAGUGAAGAAUGUUUUAUAAAAUGCCUAACCAGCACUCCCCAAAAUGCUCAAGUUCAUGAAAACCAAAGAAGUGGUCACAUCCAAGAGAAUCCUAAAUGACUAAAUUCAGUGUGAUAGCUUGCACAAACAGCUGAACAGAAAGUGAAGAACAAAGUAGAGCCUGACAGAAAGGGGAUCUUUAGUUAAUGAUAAAGUGUAACUAUCUGAUCAUUAAUGGUGACAGUUAUGCUGUAUUAAUGUAUGAUACUUAGAAAAAAAAGGAAAGCUGUACAGUGUCCAUGGGAACUCUCUGUGCCACCUUGGUUAGAUGUACUACAUUAAUAGAUUUAUUUGGACUUUCUUUAGAUUUCAGAAGUUCAUUUUAAUUUUUUCAGAGCAUAUACUCAUGCACAAACAAUAUCUAAGUAUCUAUUGAUCUAUCUAGAGAGAUUAUUUUAUGGCAUGCAGAUUUCACAAUGUUAAUGAAAAUAUAAUGCAAAUUGUUUCCUUCAGUUUAUCUUCAGUUUAUGCAGAAGAUAUUAUAGCUAGGUGAGAAAAUAAAGAUUAAUUAUCUUAUGGUAUUAUGAUUUAAAUUAUAAAAUCAAGAGAAAAUAUUGUCUCAUCAAUAUAGAUAUAUAUCUAUGAUGUAGUACUAUUAUUAUGCAUAUUUGAUUGAAUGGAUAAAACUUUUUCCACUACUCAAAUGGAAAUUUUAGUUUGAAGCCUGAAUGAAAAAAAUUUUCCUGAAAUCAUAAGUUUUUAACACACUAGAGAUAAUAAACAUGUUUUGGAUGUGCAAUUUCUCUUGACAGCAAAUUGGAAUACUUAAGAUUUUGUGCAAGCUAAUUGCACCCUCAUUUAGUUUAAUGAACAUUUUCAGUGGCAAUAUUAUGAUUCCUGUUUCUGUGGGAAGUAGCAGCUUGAUACUUAGGAAGUGUUAAGUUGUUCUGUGCAAGACGUGGCUACUUUGGGAAUUUCUGAAAAGUAAUUAGCAUAGUCUUUCAUGGCCUGUUAUUUCUUACAGAAAUCUAUUCUUUUAUUGAGAACACAAAACUAAUGCUAGGAAUAAUUAAGGAAGUUCUCCAUAUCGUCAUCUCUGUUCUAGAGAAAAUUGUUCUUGAAUGUAUCAGCCUUGAUUAUUUUUCUUUACUACAAUGAUUCCCUUUGGAAAUGAUCUUCAACUAGCUGUGAGACCACUUCAAGGGAAGAAUAAAGGCAGAACUUCUUUUCUAAAACUGUUUAAAUAUUUUUUGUCACUUUGUUUUUAGAUGUCUAUUUGUAAGCACAUCUGAUACCAUAUAAGUGAAUUAUUAUUAAUAGGAUAUUCAAAUAUUUGUUUUACUCUCUCAGUUUGGACCCAAUUGAGUGAAAGAUGCAUUCAUUAAAAUGUCAUCAGGUAUAUUAUUACAAGGAUAUUGGUUACCAUGGCUUAUACUUAUUCCUAAAAUAGUCUGGUCUGAAAUAGGAUAACAAGCCCCAAAUUACCUGACACAUCUGAUAUCUAUACAUCUUUCACCUGGGAGCCACUGGCCCUGUAAGGAACCAAUGUGUAGCCCCUUCUUCUCCACAUCGUGCAAAUCAUGAACUAUGCAUUCUCCUUCUAUCACUGAGUUCAAUGAAUCAUGGAUCUAUAACCAUCCUUGUUCCACUAAAUAAUAAAUAUAUCUGCUCUCCUCAUCUGUAAAUUCCCUAUCAGUGGAUUCAACCAAUUAUGGACAGAAAACAUUUGAGAAAUUAUUAGCAAUCAUACUCAAUAUAUGUGGACUAGUUUCUUGUCAUUUUUCCCCAAACUAUAUUGACUGUUUGAAAUAAGAUUUCACUUUGCAUUAGGCAUUUUAAGCAAUAUAGAGAUGAUUCAUAGUGUAAUGUGAAUAGCUUAUAUUCAAAUACUAUAGCACUUUAAGUAAGGGUACUUGAGCAUCUGCAGAUUUGAUGUACAAGGGGUAUCCUUGCAUCAAUGGCCCAACCAAUACUGAGGGAUAAAUGAAUAUGUAUCCUUUUCAAAUGUAUAUUCAAACAUACACCAGCAAUAAAACCAUAAAAUAAACUAAAUGCUUUUUAUUUUUAAAAAUGAUGGACAGCAGUUAUUAAAUGGUAGAGGAGUUACAGUGGAAACAUUGUCAUCAUAUAGAAAGCUCGAUGACAUUAAACUCUUUAUGUGGGGCUCUGAGUGUUAGAUAAAUCAAAAGCACAUUGAUUAGAAAUUUGGAAAUACAUAUAAUUUUGAUUGAUAAAGGCCACAUAUGAUGAAUUUGAUACACUGAACAUUCUUAUGUACUCAUGCCAAGAGAAUUUGCUCCAGUAGUUUUAGGAAAAGAUGUCUCUUCCAUACAUAAACAGCAAAAUCUGCACAGACCUUGUCACUUGUAAAGAUUAUUUACUUAUAUUUUUAUAUUAAAAGUAAAGAGAUUUUUAGGGCAAUAAAAUAUUUCUUUGCUUCCUUUAAUUACCCACACUCAGUGACUCUUGAAAAGUAUGUUCUUUAUCUCACUACUUAUAAAUUGAAAAUUCCUCAUAUCAGCAUAAUUUAUGGUUUUAUCAAGUCUAGUAAGGAAUUAACAGAUAGUUUGCUCAUUGCCCUUUCUAAUUUUUAUUUUAAUUGUAUCUAAUAUUCCCCAGAUCAAUUUGCAUCAUAGAUAAAAAUAAAAGGAAAAAUUUGUAGUGGAAAGAGAUCUUUUGUUUGGAUUUUACAUAGAAUUUUAAAAUCAUGGAAUAGGUAUAAAAUUCAUAUUUGACUUCCUGGGGUCAAGUGAAUGAGUACAGAAAAAAAUACAAAAAUUAAUUACCAGGAAACUAUGAUGUCUAGAUGUCCUAUUGAAAAAACACAAUAUCAAUAAGUAAGUAAGUAAGUAAAUAAAUAAAUAAAUAAGAUAUGUAUAUCUUUGUUUAUUUCAAGCCAUUAUUGCAAACCAUCAAGAAAGAAGAAGUUUGGUGAGAUUUACAUCUUUUUGAAUUACUAUAGUACAUUCUAUGACAUAAAAUUCACCAUUUUAUUUUGUGACAAAAGUUCUUGUUCCUAAAAGCAGAAAGCUAUCAAAAAAUUCUCUUGCAGAGUACAAAAGAUUCACUUACAAAUCAAAGUGAAUAUGAAAGAAUGCAAAUCACACCUCAAAGCAUUACAAAAUUAAUACUUUCUACAUAAAAUAAUCUUAAUGUGAUUGAUAAGUACAUUUUUGCUUAAGCUCCUUCACAGCUUGAAAUGGAAUACAAAUUAUUUUAAAAAACCCAAAGACAUCUUUUUCCUAAGGCCUUAAAUUUCUUCCAAUUCUUUCAAUGAAUCGUGGUAGAAUUAGCAGUUAUAACAUCAUUCAUGUUAAAUGGUAAAUUUUUUGAUGUUACUUAGUGUAGAUAACUUUUGCUGUUUCUAAUUAUAUGAUAUUUGAAAGUAUUAAAGUAUAAACUUUAUUUGUAAACUCAGCUACAACUUAUCCAUAUAAUCUGAAAAAUAAUGGUUCCAUGACAAUAGGGACAUAAUAAAAGCUAAUAUUUGUCUAGCAAUGUUAAUAAUAUUCACCUUAUUGUACUAUAUUAUUUUUUACAAAUUGGUAUUUAGUCACUAAAGUUUGUAAGAAAAGUAUUUCUCUAAUAUCCCUAUGGUUUUCAGGGGCUUUGCUUAUCAACUGUAUAAGAGAUUUUGACAUGGCAUAAAGUCAUAUCCAAAGUUUUCUAAUACACAAAUAUUCCAGUCUCCCAAUCAUGACUUAUACUCUUCACACUUAAGUUUGACUAACACCAUCAUGUUAUAUAUAUUCCUUUGUGGUUAGUUACUUUUGCUGAAAAAAGUAUUUUAUUGCUACUGUAAACAAUAUUUUUAAAAAUUCUAUUUUUGAUUAUUGCUGCUAUAUAAAAAUAUAAAUGAAUUUUGUAUCACGAUCUCAUAUUCUGCAAUUUUGGUGUUGUCAAAUAUUGGCACUAUAAGAAUUUUCAUUUUACAUCUCCAUUUGUUUGUUUUUUAGACAUUCCAUGAAUCUCUACAUAGAUGAUUAUAUUUUUUGCAAAUAAUUAUUUUUUGGAGGUAAUGUUACAUUUUGAUCUAUUUUUUGACAAGUUUUUCUUUCUAAACUGUCAGAACAAUGUUAAAUAGAUAUUGCCUUAUUCCUGAGCUGAGAUGGAAAAUGCUUAGUCUUUUCACUAUUCAGUGUGCUGUAUGAUAUCCUUUGUCAGGCUGAGGAAGUUGCUUCUAUUCCUACUUCGUGAGUAACUUUAUUAGAAAAGCAUGAGGAGCUAUUAAAAAUUAAUUAAAAAAUUACUGGAGACAUGUGCUGGGAUUAAGGUCAUCAUGAAUUAUAAUAACAAUGGAAAAAUUUAGGACAUGAAAUUGAAACCAGUAUAUAUGUAGUCUGAUACCAUAUACUUAAAAUAUCUAAAAUCAUUAGACAUUUACAAUUCAUACUCAAAUUGAGAUUAGACAUAGUAAGUAUAGAUCAUCUUCUCUCUACCUGAAAUAUGCAAAAAGAUUAAUUCAAUUUAGUAAAUAUUUGUAACUAUGCGAACAAAAAUUAUUUUCUUUCUUUGAAAUGAGAUGAUUCUGAUAAUUGUUCUGUGAGAAUAAUUCUAAUUUCUUAAAGUGUAUUGAAAAUUGAUGGAAUCUUUGUGCUCUUUCUUAAUAUUCUCAGAACACACAACCUUCUUUGCAAAGAAAUUGGCUGUGAUCACACACAGUUCAUUCAGCUUCAUACUAUUCAUAAUCUAUUUGUAAGUUUAGGGGAAUAUGGGAUAUCCUCCUGAUGCAAGCAAAAGUUCUCUUUCCGAGAUUAAGAUUUUUGUCUUGCUAUGCUGUAUGCCAUAUACUUAACAGUAUUCUAUAGUACAUUCAUUUUUUCCAACUUUCUUAAGGUAUAUUUAACAAUUUAAAAAUGUGUGUAUUUAAAUACUUAUAAAUAUAAUAAAUAUAAUAUAAAUAUAAAUAUAAUGAAUAUAUUAAUUUGCUUGAUUGUAAUCACUACAAUCAAGCAAAUUAAUAUAUUCAUUACUUCACAUAGUUACCAUUUUCUUUUUUUGUUUUGAGUGUGGUUACAACACUCAAACUCUACCCCCUUUGCAAAGUGUACUACAGUAUUGUUAAGUAGUCAUAUUAUCACACAUCUCCAGAACUCAUUCAUUCUGUGUAACUGAAACUUUGUGCCCCUUGAUCAACAUCUCCCAAUUUUCCCCACACUCAGCCACUGGUAAAAAGCAUUCUGUUUUUAGUUUCCUCCUUGACAUCACAAUCCCCAUAUAGUCAAAUCCUUUAAGGCAUAAUAUUUGCAUGCAACCCAUAAACAUCCUGUUAUAUGCUUUAACUCAUCUCUAGACUACUUAUAAUAAUUAGGACAAUGCUUAGUAAAUGCUGUGAGAAUAGUUGUUGAACUGUACCAUUUAGGGAAUAAUGGCUACACAUGUUCUGUACAGAAAUAACUUAUUUUUCUGAAUAUCUUCUAGUUAUACUUGAUUUAUUGCAGAUAUGGAGGGUAGACUGCAUACAUGUGAUACAUUAUAUAACAAUAAUUUCUUAGGUAGUAUUCUCUGUGAAUCCUUAAAUAUCUCUGGGUGAGAAAAAUGCUUUAUUUUGCUGUUGUAUUAGUUGAUUUUUGAAUUUUCAAUCAAAAUCAUUGUUUUUUACCAGACUUCUGUGUUCUUGUAGCUACUCUAGUCAUGAGAGUCUCUAGUGUCAGUUUUUCUGUUUCUUUUUGCAAGCUUUUGUGCGCUUUAUUUCCCUUUCUUUUUGAAAUUCAGGGAUUGCAUUGAACUCUUUUUCCUUCAGCUUGCUGAGCUCUGUAUGGACCGUUUCAGGCCAUCAUAGACACUGUUCCAAGACAAUCCGACUAUUGCAUCUGCUGAUGGACACAGCAAGGCAGAGGACAAAGCUAAGCAUACUUUGCAGCUCCUAUUGAAGGUUUCUGAAGAAGGCACUGGGCUCCUCCUGCUCCCCCUUUCCUGCCUGCUCUGCUUGGGAAAGUUCUUCAAAACCUAAUCCCUUUUGCUGUCGGAUUUCUACAAAUAUCCUCGACUGUUAUUUUCUUGCUCCAAGAAAUACUAUAUGUUUUCUGCAUUUAAAGAUCUUUGUGAAUUUCCCCGUCUCCCUCUCUCUAAGAUCCUGCUUUUGUUUCUUCCUCUCUGCAUUGUUAAUUUGGGACAUCUGUCAGAAACAGGGUUGUCAUUUAACAUCUCUAUUUUGUUGUCCUCAUUUCUUCAAUCCUUCUACUUCCAAAAUAUGGGUUUUCAUGCACUUCAUAUGAUUUAUUAUAUUUGCUUAUUUUUUUCUUUAGGAGCAAACAACUGCAGUUGGCUGUGUCAAUUGUGAAACUCAUUUUUGAAACUUUGAUGGCUAAAAAUGGUAAUGAGCUUCUCUUCUUAUUGGUGUAUUAAAAAUAAACACCUUUGGAAAAAUUACACAAUUUUUCUAAAUGUAUUCAUAAAUGUAUAGCAUAUUUCCUUACAAACCAUAGAUAUAAUAUGUUAUAAAUAAUGCCAAAGCAUUAUUUACUGGCCUUCUGCAACAGAAAUUAUCAUUUGGUUCCGUGAUGGUGGGUUCAUUUUGAGUCUCACUGAUUCCAGGAGCAAAUGAACUUUUGUGAUAGAUAGCCUCAAGCUGCUGUGCAGUUAAGAGCUUGUAUUUCAUUAAUUGAAUUCUUCUGGGCAUGAUGUUACUCUAUAUACUCCCUCCAAGACAUCAAGCCUUUAAUUAGUUACUUACCCACAAACACAUAUUUAACAUUAUAAACUGGGAUCCCUUUUUGCCAACACCAGAUAGAGUUGUUUCAACUGUGAACUCUCACUAGUAGAAGAUUUUCCACACUAAUUCUUCUGAGCCAGAAUCAAACAGCUGGAAAACAUGUGCAGUGUCUUUUACUCUGAAAUGUGAGUAGGUCUAGCAUAAAACUCAUGCCAUUAUCUUCACAAGCAUGAUCAGAGUUUACCUUUAAUAGGAUUGCUCUAAUUUAUUUUCUCGUUUGCUUCUCACAGCAUGCCAGUAUCCAUGAGAUGCUGAGUUCAGUAUGAAUUUAAAAAUGAAAUAAAAGCUCCCUUUACUAUCUUAGAGAAGAGGAGACGUUCUCUAAAUGUCAAACAUCAUCUCUAAAUUGACUGUAAUCCGGAAAUAUGUCUUUUUCUUUCCUUUCUUCUUUCUGUCCUCAUCACAUUAUUUCAAGACUGUUUACUAUGGAAGCAAACUUGCUUUGCUGAAUACAUGAAGUAAAAUGUGAAAACAUCAAUGAAAUGAUUUAAUUAUGGAAAAAUAUAUAUACACAACUCUUGUUAACACACUAUAUGCCAAAUUCCCAGACUAUGGUCACUUGCAUAGAGUGUUAGGAAGGUGUAUUUUAAAUUAUACCAUAGAACCUAACACAUGGGGAGGAUAGAAACAAGAACUUUAGGAUAGCACUUUACAAAGUGGAGGAAGAGGGCAAAAUUCAUUAAUGCUUAAUAAUGUCCAAGGAUAUGGGGUAGCCUGUGGAGUGACAGCUGUAGAGAAAUGGAAAUUACAAUAGAAAUGGCAAACCCCUAGUUUCCCCCUUUUAUUGUGGCACAGCCUAUCAAUAUCCAACUUUACUUUCAUUGCCACUGUCAGAAUCACAUGAUAUUAUUGCUUUCUGCUAGAUGUCAAUCUAGAAAUAUAAGGAUAAACUACAUUUCAAUUAAUUAAUAUGGCACAUAUCAAAUGAGCACAAGCAUCAUGAAACAACAUUUGCUAGUCGUUUCUACCUAUAUACAGUUCAUGGUUUUUUAAUGAAUUUAAUAUACAUUUGAUGCAUAAGCCUUCAUAAAGGGUUGACAUUUACCAUACUUAAAGUUCAGGAUAAUAUUCCCACUGGUAUUAAGUAGGGCUGACUGGGUAGAUAAUGGUCUGAGUGUGAGCACAUUGUGUUGUCAUUCUUCCAAUUAUUAUUUGAACACAUAACUUUUUGCAUGAUCACAAAAUCCUUUACAGGUAUUUUUACUUACCUUCCAUAUGUACUAAAUUAAUUUUAAUUUCCUAAUUUAUAUGUCCAUUACUUGUGGACUUCUUUCUAUUCUUCUUAAAUCAUAGCAGAAAUUCUAGUUUGAGUCAUUUUUUAAAAGUAGCGCAGAAAAGUAACAUCACAUUUUUCAGUUGAGGAAUUCAACAAUUAAUACUUGCAAGUCUUUUAAGCAAAACAUUCAUAAGGUUAUUUAUUUUUUAAACAUAGCAAAUACAUUUUUAAUUCUUUGAUGAGAUAAUUUAAUUUUUGCAACUCCAUCCCCUCAAGAAUUUAAGCUUCCAAACUGAUUGUUCUGGUUCUGUUUAAUUUAAUGAAAGACCCUUUAUCCAACUGUCAAGGGAUCCCUGAAGAGUUCGUUUCACUUCAUAUUUCCCUAACAAAGCUCUUAAGUACUCAAACAGGAACAUAUAAACUGAUUCCAGCAGUUAUAAGUCCCUAUUUCCAUUUAACUUACUGAUAACUUCUGAGGAGGUUGAGUGAGCUAAUGGAAAGUUAAAUAGUCCGAAAUAAGCAAACAUGGGAGCUAAAUGAUCAGGUUAUUCUUUGGCUCCCCUACUCUGGGCUUCCUACAGGAACAAAAUGCAUUACCAGAAUGUUCAGUGGGGGUUAAGUUGUGUUUCUAGAUUUUCAAACUGGAAAAAUACUACCCACCAAACUAAACUAAUUCCUUUGAAACUACUGCAAAAAAUAUAUACAUAUUAAAAUAUUAAGAUAUUUAUUCUAAGUAAUAAAUGUCAUACAAUAUACAAUACUAUAUUAUACAUAGUAUGUCAUCUAUAACAUGAGAUCUUAAUUGUAAAUGGGCUUGCCUCGUAGUGACAGCUCUUUUGAAAAUCUGCAGUGAGUCAACACAAAUUUUAGGAAAUGUUUAAAAGGAGUAAAAAGAGAGUGUAAAGUCAUUUUAAUACCUUUCUCUCUUUUAUUUAUUGAAUAAAAGUGCUAGUGAUUAAGGGAUUUCAGAGUGUAUUCAGAGAACUGGGCAAAAAGUACAAGAAAGAUUUUCCUUAUGAUAAACUAUUGGUGAUAUUUAAAAUGUUUUAUUUUAUCAGUCAAGUUUCGCAUUCUUUCAGAAGGGCUGUUUUGGAAGGGAAACAUGCAACAGGAUCGAUCGUCCAAAGCCUUUGUUGUUGUUGUUGUUGUUUAAUAUAAACAAAAUGAAACAACAUAAGGAAGACUUAUCUGAAUGGCCACCAAUCAAUCAUGUUAGAACAUCUGGAAAUAAGAAGCAUGAAGGCUGAUCAUUAAGUCUGAAACCCAGGCAAUAUUAUUUAUCUGUACUGUAAUGUGCAUAAGUGUGCAUUGUGUGCUGAUAAGACUGCUGAUUAUGAUUAUGAAUAUUCAUUUGUUUCAAUAUUUUUGUUACCUGUAAUGUCAAAAUCAGAUGAUGGAUAUAUUUUUUAUCUGUAAAAUUAAAUAACAAUUUUUUAUUAUUAGUUUUACUACUUGACUCCUUAUAUUUCACGAUCAUUUGAGAAUUAUUGGGAAAAAAGUAGAAGAGAAAGAGCCAGAAAUUUUAAUAUUUACUGGGCAGUACUACUUUAAUAAUUCAUAAUAAGAGUUCUAUAUCUGGUGACAAAAGGAAGACAGACUGUAGUGGAGUUAAGUAAAUAGAAUCUACAAAUGGGAUUCCCUUUGGCACACAUGUGGUGAAUAUACCAAAUCAGUUUUAUAAAUUUAACUCUGAGAUGUUGUUAACAUUUAACAUCCAUUCAUAUAUGUGUGAAAUAUAUUGGAAUAAUUAGGUAAAAGAGGCAAUAUUUAUUGAGAAGAUAUCUAAUAUGUAAAAUAUAUAAUCGUAUAUAAUAUUUGUAUGUAUAUGUGUACAUAUAUGUAUGUAUAUGUGUAUAUAUAAUAUAUAUGUGUAUGUAUACAUAAAUAUAUAUAAUUAUAUAUAUAUGACUUUACCUAGUUAGUAUAUUGUGUUAGUAUGUUGUGACAUAGUUGUUAGUAUGUUGUGACAACUCAGUCCAUGAAUCAUUCAUUCUGAAUCAUCUAAUCAUCUUUAAUUCUGUAAGAUGCCCUAUAUUGGUUUUAAUUUUUGCAAGCGAUACAUUGUUAGUAAGUAGAGUUUUCAAAAUUUCUAGCAUAAUUAAGUCUGUGCCUGAGAAAAAUGAGAAGUAUCUAUCACAUUUAUAAUACUAGCAAAAAUGACAUUUUCUCAGAUAUUUUUUUUGUAAAUAUAUUAUAGUUCCAGGUUUUAUGAAGCUCAAAUCUUCUACAAUUUGUGAUGGCAAUAAACUAUGCAAAAUAUUCUAAAUAUCACAUACUUUGAAAAAUUGUGCUAGAGAGAUGUAAUAUGAACACAUUACAAGCCUUACUAGAGUCUUGGAAAAUUCCCAUUUCGAAUUUAUUUUACACAGUUUAUAUUUUAACAACAUAUGCUCAAUAAUUCAUAUUCUGAUUAUUCCCCAAUUGUUUAUAAGUUUAGAUAUUUAUUCUCUUUAAUAAAAGAUUAGAAAAAAUUUUUCAUGGAUUUUAUUUCAAAAGAAUAUAUUAAAGUAGACAAUGAUUAACAGUGUAAAAUAUUUCAAAAGUGUAGAAGAAAGUGUUUCUUUGAAAAGCCUAAAAGGCAUCCAUUUUUACCUAAGAUUAUGAAUGAUGUUUUUAUAUUUUUGUUUUAUUUUUUUUUCUUUACUCUCCCACAUUUUCAGGAACUUAAUGGUACUUUUUAACACUAAAUGUGGUUUAGCAAAUAGCCUCUUUUUAUUCAAAGAUUGAAUUACAACUCUGCAAUUAGAGUUAGCAUAGAUUGUCUUACUCCAGGUAAGUUGUUUGACAAAAAAAAUUUUAAAAAUCCUCAAAUCACAUAAAAUUGACAUAUUAUAGUGACACCACCACAUCAAUGUUUAUAGCAGCUCAAUUUACAAUAUCCAAGCUUUUUAAGCAAUUGGGGUACUUUACAACGAGAUGAAUGGAUAAAGAAAAUGUGGAAUAUAUAUACAAUGGAAUAUUACUCAGCUAUAAAGAAGAAUGAAACUUUGACAUUUGCUGAUAAAUGGAUGGAACUGGAGAAUAUUAUCCUGAGUGAAAUAAGCCUGUCCCCAAAGGCUGAAUGUUCUCUCUGAUAUGUGGAUGCCAAUCUCCAAAAAAAAAGGGUAGGGAGAAUAGAAGUUAAUUAGAUUGGACAGAAAGGAAUGAAGGGAAGGGGA
Ictidomys tridecemlineatus (thirteen-lined ground squirrel) is the source of this 13005-nucleotide non-coding RNA. The record is from RefSeq and is a predicted model, not a curated record. Lineage: Eukaryota; Metazoa; Chordata; Mammalia; Rodentia; Sciuridae.